CCUACGGGAGGCAGCAGUCGAGAAUCAUUCACAAUGGGGGAAACCCUGAUGGUGCGACGCCGCGUGGGGGAAUGAAGGUCUUCGGAUUGUAAACCCCUGUCAUGUGGGAGCAAAUUAAAAAGAUAGUACCACAAGAGGAAGAGACGGCUAACUCUGUGCCAGCAGCCGCGGUAAUACAGAGGUCUCAAGCGUUGUUCGGAAUCACUGGGCGUAAGGCGUGCGUAGGCUGUUUCAUAAGUCGUGUGUGAAAGGCGCGGGCUCAACCCGCGGACGGCACAUGAUACUGCGAGACUAGAGUAAUGGAGGGGGAACCGGAAUUCUCGGUGUAGCAGUGAAAUGCGUAGAUAUCGAGAGGAACACUCGUGGCGAAGGCGGGUUCCUGGACAUUAACUGACGCUGAGGCACGAAGGCCAGGGGAGCGAAAGGGAUUAGAUACCCGGGUAGUC
RNAcentral lists this ribosomal RNA (446 nucleotides) under uncultured bacterium. RNAcentral describes it as "partial 16S ribosomal RNA". It matches the Rfam family "Bacterial small subunit ribosomal RNA", at positions 338 to 795 of the family's 1533-position model. The record is from RNAcentral.